GGCAGGGAUCUUCCAGGGGUGGAGUCGUGAUCCGAUUGAGGGCUCUCUACCCUCGAAUUUGUUUUCCCGGGAAGGACGGGGUGGCUGGCCCAGGUGGCCCGCCCUGCCGCCGGGUUCCGGCAUUCCGGAGAUGCCCUUUCCGGAUGCACCGACGCCUGCGGUUGCUGCUGCUGCAUUGCUUGUACGGCUUCGACGAGGCCUCUGACCUGCUGUGCCAGCAAGUCAAAUUGCUCCGCGCCGACCGCCGCCACCGGAGGGGGAGGAGGAGGAGGCUGAGAAACUGGAGGGGAGGCCGGAGCCUGAGAUCUGGCCGCGGAGGCCGUAGACCGCCGGGUGGACACCUUGCACGGAGGCAUCGAGUGUCGAUCUCGUGAAGGGAGGUUAGAAGCGGGUAACGGAGAGACGGUCAGGGACGGCUCCGUUGAACACUCCUUUAAGAACAAGGGUGCUGU
This 452-nucleotide long non-coding RNA is filed under the name Elaeis guineensis (African oil palm). RNAcentral describes it as "long non-coding RNA (EGUI_LNC020216)". The record is from RNAcentral. Lineage: Eukaryota; Viridiplantae; Streptophyta; Magnoliopsida; Arecales; Arecaceae.